RNAcentral lists this non-coding RNA (374 nucleotides) under Nicotiana attenuata. RNAcentral's name for it is "Eukaryotic large subunit ribosomal RNA". It matches the Rfam family "Eukaryotic large subunit ribosomal RNA", at positions 3004 to 3401 of the family's 3401-position model. Lineage: Eukaryota; Viridiplantae; Streptophyta; Magnoliopsida; Solanales; Solanaceae. The record is from Rfam by way of RNAcentral.
AUAGUAUUGCAAUAGUAAUUCAACCUAGUACGAGAGGAACCGUUGAUUCGCACAAUUGGUCAUUGCGCUUGGUUGAAAAGCCAGUGGCGCGAAACUACCGUGCGCUGGAUUAUGACUGAACGCCUCUAAGUCAGAAUCCGGGCUAGAAGGGCGCAUGCCGACCCGCAGUAGGGGCCUUUGGCCCCCAAGGGCACGUGUCGUUGGCUAAGUCAUCGCGGCGGAAGAGCCGCGGUGGCCGCCUUGAAGUACAAUUUCCAUCGAGCGGCGGGUAGAAUCCUUUGCAGACGACUUAAAUACGCGAUGGGGGUAUUGUAAAUGGCAGAGUGGCCUUGAUAAAUGCAGCAGUAUGACAUCAUAUUUAAAAGCGAUAAUAC